UUCGUUUUAUAUAUAAAAAAAAAACAAAAAUUUAAAAAUUUCCAAUUUAUUGUCAAAUACCACAUUCAAUUCACAUUUGUCUCAAAUACCAUAUAAAAAAAAUAAGUAAUAAUUCAUUCAAUUUUUUGUCAAAUACCACAUUCAAUUCACAUUCGUCCCUAAUACUAAGUUUUGACACAUUCCAUUUGAUUGUCUUAUGACUAAUACUAAGUUUGACAAAAGUAAGCACUAAUGAACAAAACAAACACUACCAGAUGUUUACAAAUUCAAUUGUCCUCAGGAUUAUUGGGGGGAGCAUGAGAUUGAUUUCCAGACAUAUUUAUCAUCCACAUAACCAUUUCCAUUUGUGCUUGCAUUUGUUGUUGCUGUUGUUCCAUUGUAGAAACUUGUGCGCGCAACCUAUCAACCUAAAAAAAUGGCAAUACAAUUCAAUACUUAAACAAUAUUAGCAAUGUACUUUAGUUUAUUACUAGCCGUUUACCCGCGCUAAGCGACGGGUGCAAAUAAUUUCUUUUACAAAUUAGUUUUUUGAGACGAUUAGUUUUUUUAAACAAUUAUAAUGAUUUUAUAAUUUUUGGAAAUUUGUUGCUUUAACAAAAAACUAAAUAAGGAAAGGAUACUAGGUCUAUUUGUAAUGUAAGCAAAAUACAUUACGCUGAUUGAAGAUUAAAAUUGUAGUAAAGAUUUUGGCUUACAAAAGGUACACAACAGUACUCACAUGCUUACAAAGAUGGGGCAGUUUGGAAUUCAAUCCUUUCUUCUUGGUAUUAUAUUCAACCUGGAAAAUAAUAAAGAACUUUAACAAAUGUUUGCAUAUUAUCUAAUAAAACCACCAAUCACACAUAAUUUUAAAUUGAAAUAAAAGCUUACUGUCAAAAUUUAGGACUUGAAAUCAUAGGUUGUCUCCUCCAUCAUGGAUUUCAAUGGCAAAAAUCUUGGAUUUAUGUUAUUUCUUCCUCAAAGUCCAAACUAGAGGCAUGCACACUUGGUUUUUCUUCAUCACUUAUAAAGUUUCCAAAUCAUAUUUACAUUCCUCAGAUGGAUUUCCAUAAGCCUGAGGUUUCCUGCGGUGCCCCAAAAAUUUAGAAAUCAUAUAUAGAUAUUCCAUUAUAAGAUUUAUUGCAACAUAAAACGCAUCAAAACACAAAGAUACAAAAAAAGAUUCAUCAAAAAUAAAAGGAAAAUACAACGAAAUUAUGUAUCAGGAAGGGGAAAAAUCCGAUUAAUACUCGUUUUUAUCUUCCGUCUCAGGUUAACGGGCUAAUGCAAGCUUUAUACAACCAUGUUUUCAUCAAAUGCAUUCUUGAAAGCUUUUAUCAUCCUCUCUACCAUCAUCUAUAAGAGAAACCAAGUUUCAUCCCAGUUUCAGUCAGAAACAAAUAGAUGAAAGUACACAUAAACUUUAAAUAGUUAAAUAAGGACUUUUAACAAACACCUGGUGGGCAAACUUUGCAACAUUUAAUAAAGUUUACUAUAUGAUUUUGAACACCUUAAGCCUAUAAAUUCAACAAAAAAUCCAUCCGAUUUUGAAUACCUUAAGCCCAAAUAUUUAACAAAAAAGUCCAGCUCAUAGUCUCUAGUUGAUUCUUCACACCCAAAUCAAAUUAGCAAUAAAUGAUGUGGUUAUCCUUGUAAAGCACCAAUUUCAGAAUAAAAGAUGAAGAAAAAAAGAAACAGUGGGCAGUGUAUGUUUCCUGCAUGAAUUAAUUUCAAAAAAAAUAAAAAUAAACUAGGGUUUUACCUGUGGGGAAGAAUGAAUCGAGCAAAGAGGCCAAGAGAGAGGAGAGCAAUGCGCCGGGGAAGAAAACGAGGGUCGACAACGGCGACGGGCUGCUAGGGGUAGCGACGGCUCGGACGACGGGAAGCUUCAGGCCUUCAGCGAUUUUUUUUUGUUUUCUGUUCGUGGUUCAGCAACGUCGAAGGAGAAGGGGGGUUUUGUUCGUCCAAC
This 1948-nucleotide long non-coding RNA is filed under the name Lactuca sativa (garden lettuce). Its description in RNAcentral is "long non-coding RNA (LSAT_LNC005734)". Lineage: Eukaryota; Viridiplantae; Streptophyta; Magnoliopsida; Asterales; Asteraceae. The record is from RNAcentral.